Molecule: long non-coding RNA, 871 nt
Filed under: Salmo salar (Atlantic salmon)
Lineage: Eukaryota; Metazoa; Chordata; Actinopteri; Salmoniformes; Salmonidae
Description: lncRNA (ENSSSAG00000096319.1)
Source: RNAcentral
ACACACGCACAGGAACACACACACAGAAUUGUACAACUAAUCUUGUGCGGACACACAAUUCAGUCUCAUUCAAAAUCCUAGCUUCUCUAACCCCAAAUCCUAAACCUAAACCUAAACCUAACCUUAACCCAAAAACCUAAUCUUAACACUAACCCUAGCUCCUAACCCUAACACUAAUUCUAACCUUAACCCUAAAACCCAUAAAAAUACUAUUUGACCUCGUGGGGAGUAACAAAAUGUCCCCAGUUGGUCAAAUUUCUGUUUACUAUUCUUGUGGGGAAUUCUGGUCCACACAAGAAUAGCUAAACACACACACAAACCUAUAUCAGCAGUAUUAAAUUAAUAGUUAGCUUUGUAAAGGUCAAUACAGAAAUAAUAUCAAGUUUGUUAUUCUGACAGAAUGUAGGUGUUAUUCUGAUAGAAUGUAGUUGUUAUUCUCAUAGAAUGUAGUUGUUAUUCUGAUAGAAGGUAGGUGUUAUUCUGAGAGAAGGUAGGCGUUAUCCUGAUAGAAUGUAGGUGUUAUUCUGAUAGAAUGUCGAUGUUUUUCUGAUAGAACGUAGGUGUUAUUCUGGUAGAAUGUAUGUGUUAUUCUGAUAGAAUGUAGGUGUUAUUCUGAUAGAAUGUAGGUGUUAUUCUGAUAGAAUGUAGGUGUUAUUCUGAUAGAAUGUAGAUGUUAUUCUGAUAGAAUGUAGGUGUUAUUCUGAUAGAAUGUAGGCGUUAUUCUGAUAGAAUGUAGGUGUUAUUCUGAUAGAAUGUAGGUGUUAUUCUGAUAGAAUGUAGCUGUAAUUCUGAUAGAACGUAGGUGUUUUGAUUGUGAAGUUAGUUGGUUAUUAUUGUUUAGAACACAUUUCCAUUCAGUGUAAUAAACCAG